Molecule: transfer RNA, 71 nt
Filed under: Gehyra marginata
Lineage: Eukaryota; Metazoa; Chordata; Lepidosauria; Squamata; Gekkonidae
Description: tRNA-Thr
Source: RNAcentral
GUCCUAAGUAGCUUAAUACACUCAAAGCCCUGGCCUUGUAAACCAGAAAUGGGCCACUAGCCCCUAGGACA